RNAcentral lists this ribosomal RNA (152 nucleotides) under uncultured bacterium. RNAcentral describes it as "partial 16S ribosomal RNA". It matches the Rfam family "Bacterial small subunit ribosomal RNA", at positions 338 to 507 of the family's 1533-position model. The record is from RNAcentral.
CCUACGGGAGGCAGCAGUGGGGAAUAUUGGACAAUGGGCGAAAGCCUGAUCCAGCAAUGCCGCGUGAGUGAUGAAGGCCUUAGGGUUGUAAAGCUCUUUUACCAGGGAUGAUAAUGACAGUACCUGGAGAAUAAGCCCCGGCUAACUCCGCG